RNAcentral lists this ribosomal RNA (670 nucleotides) under Shigella sp. UST050418-695. RNAcentral describes it as "bacterial SSU rRNA". It matches the Rfam family "Bacterial small subunit ribosomal RNA", at positions 53 to 719 of the family's 1533-position model. The record is from RNAcentral. Lineage: Bacteria; Pseudomonadati; Pseudomonadota; Gammaproteobacteria; Enterobacterales; Enterobacteriaceae.
ACCCACAGGUUAAGUAACAGGAAGCAGCUUGCCGUUUNUGCUUNACGAGUGGCGGACGGGUGAGUAAUGUCUGGGAAACUGCCUGAUGGAGGGGGAUAACUACUGGAAACGGUAGCUAAUACCGCAUAACGUCGCAAGACCAAAGAGGGGGACCUUCGGGCCUCUUGCCAUCGGAUGUGCCCAGAUGGGAUUAGCUAGUAGUGGGGUAACGGCUCACCUAGGCGACGAUCCCUAGCUGGUCUGAGAGGAUGACCAGCCACACUGGAACUGAGACACGGUCCAGACUCCUACGGGAGGCAGCAGUGGGGAAUAUUGCACAAUGGGCGCAAGCCUGAUGCAGCCAUGCCGCGUGUAUGAAGAAGGCCUUCGGGUUGUAAAGUACUUUCAGCGGGGAGGAAGGGAGUAAAGUUAAUACCUUUGCUCAUUGACGUUACCCGCAGAAGAAGCACCGGCUAACUCCGUGCCAGCAGCCGCGGUAAUACGGAGGGUGCAAGCGUUAAUCGGAAUUACUGGGCGUAAAGCGCACGCAGGCGGUUUGUUAAGUCAGAUGUGAAAUCCCCGGGCUCAACCUGGGAACUGCAUCUGAUACUGGCAAGCUUGAGUCUCGUAGAGGGGGGUAAAUUCCCGUGUNCGGUGAAAUGCGGUNANAUCUGGANGAAACCGGGGGGAU